GAUGGAGGGGGAUAACUACUGGAAACGGUAGCUAAUACCGCAUAACGUCGCAAGACCAAAGAGGGGGACCUUCGGGCCUCUUGCCAUCGGAUGUGCCCAGAUGGGAUUAGCUAGUAGGUGGGGUAACGGCUCACCUAGGCGACGAUCCCUAGCUGGUCUGAGAGGAUGACCAGCCACACUGGAACUGAGACACGGUCCAGACUCCUACGGGAGGCAGCAGUGGGGAAUAUUGCACAAUGGGCGCAAGCCUGAUGCAGCCAUGCCGCGUGUAUGAAGAAGGCCUUCGGGUUGUAAAGUACUUUCAGCGGGGAGGAAGGGAGUAAAGUUAAUACCUUUGCUCAUUGACGUUACCCGCAGAAGAAGCACCGGCUAACUCCGUGCCAGCAGCCGCGGUAAUACGGAGGGUGCAAGCGUUAAUCGGAAUUACUGGGCGUAAAGCGCACGCAGGCGGUUUGUUAAGUCAGAUGUGAAACCCCCCGGGCUCA
RNAcentral lists this ribosomal RNA (485 nucleotides) under uncultured Escherichia sp. RNAcentral describes it as "bacterial SSU rRNA". It matches the Rfam family "Bacterial small subunit ribosomal RNA", at positions 132 to 611 of the family's 1533-position model. The record is from RNAcentral. Lineage: Bacteria; Pseudomonadati; Pseudomonadota; Gammaproteobacteria; Enterobacterales; Enterobacteriaceae.